AUGCAAACUUGAUCAUUAACUCUGCACGAUGUUAAAGAAAUGAGGAGAACCAUUUACAUUAAAGUAACUGCAGUGAUAGAAAUAUAUUAAUUUCAGGUCCUACUGAGUUUAUUAUUAUAUUAUAGUAUUGUU
Sorex fumeus (smoky shrew) is the source of this 132-nucleotide small nucleolar RNA. Lineage: Eukaryota; Metazoa; Chordata; Mammalia; Eulipotyphla; Soricidae. The record is from RefSeq and is a predicted model, not a curated record.